CCUACGGGUGGCAGCAGUGGGGGAUAUUGCACAAUGGGGGGAACCCUGAUGCAGCGACGCCGCGUGGGUGAAGAAGCGUUUCGGCGUGUAAAGUCCUGUUAGCAGGGAAGAAAAUGACGGUAUCUGAAGAAGAAGCACCGGCUAACUCCGUGCCAGCAGCCGCGGUAAUACGUAGGGGGCAAGCGUUACCCGGAUUUACUGGGUGUAAAGGGGGCGCAGACGGGGAAGCAAGCCAGGUGUGAAAGCCCGGGGCUCAACCCCGGGACUGCACUUGAAACUGCGUGGCUGGAGUACAGGAGGGGCAGGCGGAAUUCCUGGUGUAGCGGUGAAAUGCGUAGAUAUCAAGAGGAACACUGAUGGCGAAGGCGGCCUGCUAGACUACAACUGACGUUGAGGCCCGAAAGCGUGGGGAGCAAACAGGAUUAGAUACCCCGGUAGUC
RNAcentral lists this ribosomal RNA (440 nucleotides) under uncultured bacterium. Its description in RNAcentral is "partial 16S ribosomal RNA". It matches the Rfam family "Bacterial small subunit ribosomal RNA", at positions 338 to 795 of the family's 1533-position model. The record is from RNAcentral.